This 301-nucleotide ribosomal RNA is filed under the name uncultured bacterium. RNAcentral describes it as "partial 16S ribosomal RNA". It matches the Rfam family "Bacterial small subunit ribosomal RNA", at positions 509 to 807 of the family's 1533-position model. The record is from RNAcentral.
CAGUAGCCGCGGGAAAACGUAGGGUGCAAGCGUUAAUCGGAAUUACUGGGCGUAAAGCGUGCGCAGGCGGUUUGUUAAGACAGAUGUGAAAUCCCCGGGCUUAACCUGGGAACUGCAUUUGUGACUGGCAAGCUAGAGUCUGGCAGAGGGGGGUGGAAUUCCGCGUGUAGCAGUGAAAUGCGUAGAUAUGCGGAGGAACACCGAUGGCGAAGGCAGCCCCCUGGGCCAACACUGACGCUCAUGCACGAAAGCGUGGGGAGCAAACAGGAUUAGAUACCCCUGUAGUCCCUGUCUCUUAUAC